Molecule: ribosomal RNA, 253 nt
Filed under: uncultured bacterium
Lineage: Bacteria
Description: partial 16S ribosomal RNA
Rfam family: Bacterial small subunit ribosomal RNA
Source: RNAcentral
UACGUAGGGUCCGAGCGUUGUCCGGAAUUAUUGGGCGUAAAGAGCUCGUAGGCGGUUUGUCGCGUCUGCUGUGAAAUCCUGAGGCUCAACCUCGGGUCUGCAGUGGGUACGGGCAGACUGGAGUGCGGUAGGGGAGAAUGGAAUUCCUGGUGUAGCGGUGGAAUGCGCAGAUAUCAGGAGGAACACCGAUGGCGAAGGCAGUUCUCUGGGCCGUAACUGACGCUGAGGAGCGAAAGCGUGGGGAGCGAACAGG